AGGAUGAACGCUGGCGGUCUGCUUAACACAUGCAAGUCGAACGGGCGUAGCAAUACGUUAGUGGCGGACGGGUGAGUAACGCGUGAGAAUCUACCUUCAGGACGGAGACAACAGUUGGAAACGACUGCUAACCCCCGAUGUACUGAAAAGGCAAAUAUUUAUAGCCUGAAGAAGAGCUCGCGUCCGAUUAGCUAGUUGGAGAGGUAAAAGCUCACCAAGGCGACGAUCGGUAGCUGGUCUGAGAGGACGAUCAGCCACACUGGGACUGAGACACGGCCCAGACUCCUACGGGAGGCAGCAGUGGGGAAUUUUCCGCAAUGGGCGAAAGCCUGACGGAGCAAGACCGCGUGGGGGAAGAAGGCUCUUGGGUUGUAAACCCCUUUUUCUCUGGGAAGAAGUUGUGAAAGCAGCCUGACGGUACCAGAGGAAUCAGCAUCGGCUAACUCCGUGCCAGCAGCCGC
RNAcentral lists this ribosomal RNA (461 nucleotides) under uncultured bacterium. RNAcentral's name for it is "SSU rRNA". It matches the Rfam family "Bacterial small subunit ribosomal RNA", at positions 26 to 518 of the family's 1533-position model. The record is from RNAcentral.